GACGAACGCUGGCGGCGUGCUUAACACAUGCAAGUCGAACGGAAAGGCCCUGCUUUUGUGGGGUGCUCGAGUGGCGAACGGGUGAGUAACACGUGAGUAACCUGCCCUUGACUUUGGGAUAACUUCAGGAAACUGGGGCUAAUACCGGAUAGGAGCUCCUGCUGCAUGGUGGGGGUUGGAAAGUUUCGGCGGUUGGGGAUGGACUCGCGGCUUAUCAGCUUGUUGGUGGGGUAGUGGCUUACCAAGGCUUUGACGGGUAGCCGGCCUGAGAGGGUGACCGGCCACAUUGGGACUGAGAUACGGCCCAGACUCCUACGGGAGGCAGCAGUGGGGAAUAUUGCACAAUGGGCGGAAGCCUGAUGCAGCAACGCCGCGUGCGGGAUGACGGCCUUCGGGUUGUAAACCGCUUUCGCCUGUGACGAAGCGUGAGUGACGGUAAUGGGUAAAGAAGCACCGGCUAACUACGUGCCAGCAGCCGCGGUGAUACGUAGGGUGCGAGCGUUGUCCGGAUUUAUUGGGCGUAAAGGGCUCGUAGGUGGUUGAUCGCGUCGGAAGUGUAAUCUUGGGGCUUAACCCUGAGCGUGCUUUCGAUACGGGUUGACUUGAGGAAGGUAGGGGAGAAUGGAAUUCCUGGUGGGGCGGUGGAAUGCGCAGAUAUCAGGAGGAACACCAGUGGCGAAGGCGGUUCUCUGGGCCUUUCCUGACGCUGAGGAGCGAAAGCGUGGGGAGCGAACAGGCUUAGAUACCCUGGUAGUCCACGCUGUAAACGGUGGGUACUAGGUGUGGGGUCCAUUCCACGGGUUCCGUGCCGUAGCUAACGCUUUAAGUACCCCGCCUGGGGAGUACGGCCGCAAGGCUAAAACUCAAAGGAAUUGACGGGGCCCCGCACAAGCGGCGGAGCAUGCGGAUUAAUUCGAUGCAACGCGUAGAACCUUACCUGGGUUUGACAUGGAUCGGGAGUGCUCAGAGAUGGGUGUGCCUCUUUUGGGGUCGGUUCACAGGUGGUGCAUGGCUGUCGUCAGCUCGUGUCGUGAGAUGUUGGGUUAAGUCCCGCAACGAGCGCAACCCUUGUUCACUGUUGCCAGCACGUUAUGGUGGGGACUCAGUGGAGACCGCCGGGGUCAACUCGGAGGAAGGUGGGGAUGACGUCAAGUCAUCAUGCCCCUUAUGUCCAGGGCUUCACGCAUGCUACAAUGGCUGGUACAGAGAGUGGCGAGCCUGUGAGGGUGAGCGAAUCUCGGAAAGCCGGUCUCAGUUCGGAUUGGGGUCUGCAACUCGACCCCAUGAAGUCGGAGUCGCUAGUAAUCGCAGAUCAGCAACGCUGCGGUGAAUACGUUCCCGGG
RNAcentral lists this ribosomal RNA (1343 nucleotides) under uncultured bacterium. Its description in RNAcentral is "16S ribosomal RNA". It matches the Rfam family "Bacterial small subunit ribosomal RNA", at positions 28 to 1378 of the family's 1533-position model. The record is from RNAcentral.